Molecule: ribosomal RNA, 465 nt
Filed under: uncultured bacterium
Lineage: Bacteria
Description: partial 16S ribosomal RNA
Rfam family: Bacterial small subunit ribosomal RNA
Source: RNAcentral
GACGAACGCUGGCGGCGUGCUUAACACAUGCAAGUCGAACGGAAAGGCCCCUUUGGGCGUACUCGAGUGGCGAACGGGUGAGUAACACGUGAGUAACCUGCCCUUGACUUCGGGAUAACUUCAGGAAACUGGGGCUAAUACCGGAUAGGAAUCCUUGCUGCAUGGUGGGGGUUGGAAAGCUUCGGCGGUUUUGGAUGGACUCGCGGCUUAUCAGCUUGUUGGUGGGGUAGUGGCUUACCAAGGCUUUGACGGGUAGCCGGCCUGAGAGGGCGACCGGCCACAUUGGGACUGAGAUACGGCCCAGACUCCUACGGGAGGCAGCAGUGGGGAAUAUUGCACAAUGGGCGGAAGCCGGAUGCAGCAACGCCGCGUGCGGGAUGACGGCCUUCGGGUUGUAAACCGCUUUCAGCAGGGGCGAAGCUUGUGGUGACGGUACCUGCAGAAGAAGCACCGGCUAACUACGUG